UUUUAGCUCAGUUGGUAGAGCGUGAAACUCCUAAUCUCAGGGUUGUGGGUUCGAGUCCCACACUGGGCAAAA
This is a non-coding RNA of Podarcis lilfordi (Lilford's wall lizard), 72 nucleotides long. The record is from the annotation of a GenBank genome assembly. NCBI's taxonomy places the organism in Eukaryota, Metazoa, Chordata, Lepidosauria, Squamata, Lacertidae.